AGUGAACGCUGGCGGUAGGCCUAACACAUGCAGGUCGAACGGCAGCACAGUAAGAGCUUGCUCUUACGGGUGGCGAGUGGCGGACGGGUGAGGAAUACAUCGGAAUCUACUUUUUCGUGGGGGAGAACGUAGGGAAACUUACGCUAAUACCGCAUACGACCUACGGGUGAAAGCAGGGGAUCUUCGGACCUUGCGCGAUUGAAUGAGCCGAUGUCGGAUUAGCUAGUUGGCGGGGUAAAGGCCCACCAAGGCGACGAUCCGUAGCUGGUCUGAGAGGAUGAUCAGCCACACUGGAACUGAGACACGGUCCAGACUCCUACGGGAGGCAGCAGUGGGGAAUAUUGGACAAUGGGCGAAAGCCUGAUCCAGCCAUACCGCGUGGGUGAAGAAGGCCUUCGGGUUGUAAAGCCCUUUUGUUGGGAAAGAAGAGCAGCAGGUUAAUACCCCGCUGUUCUGACGGUACCCAAAGAAUAAGCACCGGCUAACUUCGUG
This 492-nucleotide ribosomal RNA is filed under the name uncultured bacterium. RNAcentral's name for it is "partial 16S ribosomal RNA". It matches the Rfam family "Bacterial small subunit ribosomal RNA", at positions 29 to 507 of the family's 1533-position model. The record is from RNAcentral.